This 275-nucleotide ribosomal RNA is filed under the name uncultured bacterium. RNAcentral describes it as "partial 16S ribosomal RNA". It matches the Rfam family "Bacterial small subunit ribosomal RNA", at positions 338 to 629 of the family's 1533-position model. The record is from RNAcentral.
CCUACGGGGGGCUGCAGUGAGGAAUAUUGCUCAAUGGGCGCAAGCCUGAAGCAGCGACGCCGCGUGGGCGAUGAAGGUUUUCGGAUCGUAAAGCCCUUUUCUCUGGGACGAGCAAGGACGGUACCAGAGGAAUAAGUGUCGGCUAACUACGUGCCAGCAGCCGCGGUAAAACGUAGGACGCAAGCGUUAUCCGGAAUUACUGGGCGUAAAGCGCGUGUAGGCGGAUGAUUAAGUCAUUGGUGAAAGCUCCGGGCUAAACUCGGAGAGGUCCGAUG